Molecule: ribosomal RNA, 690 nt
Filed under: Chaetocladium brefeldii
Lineage: Eukaryota; Fungi; Mucoromycota; Mucoromycetes; Mucorales; Chaetocladiaceae
Description: eukaryotic LSU rRNA
Rfam family: Eukaryotic large subunit ribosomal RNA
Source: RNAcentral
UAACAAUGAUUUCCCUAGUAACGGCGAGUGAAGAGGAAAGAGCCCAAAGUUGGAACCUGUUUGGCUUAGCUAAACCGGAUUGUAAACUGUAGAAACAUUUUCCAGGCACGCUAGACAAAAAAGUCCUUUGGAACAGGGCAUCAUAGAGGGUGAGAAUCCCGUCUUAAUCUAAGUAGUUGUCUAUUUGUGAUAUGUUUUCAAAGAGUCAGGUUGUUUGGGAAUGCAGCCUAAAUUGGGUGGUAAAUCUCACCUAAAGCUAAAUAUUUGCGAGAGACCGAUAGCGAACAAGUACCGUGAGGGAAAGAUGAAAAGAACUUUGAAAAGAGAGUUAAACAGUAUGUGAAAUUGUUAAAAGGGAACCGUUUGGAGCCAGGCUGGCUUGACUGUAAUCAUCCUACUUUUUUUGUGGGUGCACUUGCGGUCUUUGCCUGCCAACAACAGUUUGAUUUGGAGGAAAAAAAUAUUUGGAAUGUGGCCUUUUUCGGAAGGUGUUAUAGCCUUUUAUAUCAUACUCUGGAUUGGACUGAGGAUCGCAGUUAUUGUUUCCGCUUGUUUUUCUUUUGCUGAUAAAUGUUAAAAUUUCUGCUUAGGGUGGUGUUAAUGUUUAAAGGUAAAACUAGGAUGAGUAUUGUGAUAACUUAGGUUGUUGGCUUAAUGACUCUAAAUGACCCGUCUUGAAACACGGACCAA